AGUGAACGCUGGCGGUAGGCCUAACACAUGCAAGUCGAACGGCAGCACAGUAAGAGCUUGCUCUUACGGGUGGCGAGUGGCGGACGGGUGAGGAAUACAUCGGAAUCUACUUUUUCGUGGGGGAUAACGUAGGGAAACUUACGCUAAUACCGCAUACGACCUACGGGUGAAAGCAGGGGAUCUUCGGACCUUGCGCGAUUGAAUGAGCCGAUGUCGGAUUAGCUAGUUGGCGGGGUAAAGGCCCACCAAGGCGACGAUCCGUAGCUGGUCUGAGAGGAUGAUCAGCCACGCUGGAACUGAGACACGGUCCGGACUCCUACGGGAGGCAGCAGUGGGGAAUAUUGGACAAUGGGCGCAAGCCUGAUCCAGCCAUACCGCGUGGGUGAAGAAGGCCUUCGGGUUGUAAAGCCCUUUUGUUGGGAAAGAAAAGCAGCAGGUUAAUACCCCGCUGUUCUGACGGUACCCAAAGAAUAAGCACCGGCUAACUUCGUG
This 492-nucleotide ribosomal RNA is filed under the name uncultured bacterium. Its description in RNAcentral is "partial 16S ribosomal RNA". It matches the Rfam family "Bacterial small subunit ribosomal RNA", at positions 29 to 507 of the family's 1533-position model. The record is from RNAcentral.